UAAUGAGCGCCAGAACUAACAAUAGUUGACGAGGUUAGUAGUUAUCGAAAAUUCGGCGGAUGCUACUACGGGUUAAGUACUCGAUAGAUAUAUAACAAAAAAUAAAAUCAAUAUUAUAACAAAAUAUAUAUCAU
This 134-nucleotide non-coding RNA is filed under the name human gut metagenome. RNAcentral describes it as "glmS glucosamine-6-phosphate activated ribozyme". It matches the Rfam family "glmS glucosamine-6-phosphate activated ribozyme aptamer", at positions 12 to 159 of the family's 167-position model. From Rfam's summary of the family: This entry contains a glucosamine-6-phosphate activated ribozyme that is found in the mRNA for GlmS. GlmS is an enzyme that uses fructose-6-phosphate and glutamine to generate glucosamine-6-phosphate. The record is from RNAcentral.